This 502-nucleotide ribosomal RNA is filed under the name uncultured bacterium. Its description in RNAcentral is "partial 16S ribosomal RNA". It matches the Rfam family "Bacterial small subunit ribosomal RNA", at positions 30 to 523 of the family's 1533-position model. The record is from RNAcentral.
AUUGAACGCUGGCGGCAGGCUUAACACAUGCAAGUCGAGCGGGGGAAGGUAGCUUGCUACUGGACCUAGCGGCGGACGGGUGAGUAAUGCUUAGGAAUCUGCCUAUUAGUGGGGGACAACAUCUCGAAAGGGAUGCUAAUACCGCAUACGUCCUACGGGAGAAAGCAGGGGAUCUUCGGACCUUGCGCUAAUAGAUGAGCCUAAGUCGGAUUAGCUAGUUGGUGGGGGUAAAGGCCUACCAAGGCGACGAUCUGUAGCGGGUCUGAGAGGAUGAUCCGCCAAACUGGGACUUAGACACGGCCCAGGAUCCUACGGGAGGGAGAAGUGGGGAAUAUUGGACAAUGGGGGGAACCCUGAUACAGUCAUGCAGCGUGUGUGAAGAAGGCCUUAUGGUUGUAAAGCACUUUAAGCGAGGAGGAGGCUACUUUAGUUAAUACCUAGAGAUAGUGGACGUUACUAGAAGAAUAAGCACCGGCUAACUCUGUGCCAGCAGCCGCGGUAA